This 1118-nucleotide long non-coding RNA is filed under the name Numida meleagris (helmeted guineafowl). RNAcentral describes it as "lncRNA (ENSNMEG00000000651.1)". The record is from RNAcentral. Lineage: Eukaryota; Metazoa; Chordata; Aves; Galliformes; Numididae.
AACAGACCAGGCUGUUCAGAGCUUUGCCCAGUCAGGUCUGAAAAACAUUCAAGGAAAGCCAUCUCAUAUCUCCUUGAGUAGUCUGCACCAGUUCCUUACCAUAUCCAUGGGGAAAAGCCUUGUCUUCAUGCCUAGUACAAAACUCUUCCAUUUCAGGUCUGUGAGAAGCAUAGAUCCCCCUCUGUGACCACCUCCCCUAGGCCAGCUCAGCUCCAGUCCCUCAGCCUUUCAUCAUAGGCCCAGUUCUCCAUCCGCAACAAGUUCAGAGUCCCAAAGAACUCACGUCCAUUUGUCCAUAUAUUUCCCGGAGGGGGCCCAAACCCAGACACUGUAUCCAGACAUAGUCUCAUGAGCAUAGGCUAGAGGAAGAUGAUCCCAUUCCCUCAUAGAAACGCCUUGCUCCUACAAGUGGGAGCUGUUGGUUCAUGCCUGGCUCAUGGGGCACCAGUGCAGGUAAACAUUUAUUUAGGAGUUUCAAAAGGAAGGAAUGAAUGACUGCAAGCAUAAGAUUUAUAGGACAUAUGUAAUCAUGUGAAAAUCAGAUAGUGGUCCAGGAAGAAAUGUUUCACCAACACUGAAAGGAUCACAGAAAUAAGUAAUAUAUUUUCUGCAACUUUUUAAUUAAAGAGUGUCUCCUCAUUGUGGGAUUGGAUCCCAUACAAAUAAACUCUUUCCAAGCAGGGAGCUGAAGGGUGACAUCCCCAUAAGGCAGUGUUUGUAUUUCAGACUUCCCUAUUUAACAUACAGUUUGCCUUCCACCUACAAUGUUUUCUAUAAACACUGAACAGUUUGAACAGAACUGAAUUUUCAUUUCAUGGUUAUUUACACCUUCCUGUAUUACACCGGUUUAGAGCAGACUUUGCAUUCAGAUGUGAGCCUAUACCUGAGUAUAUGUUGAUCCUCGUACAUGUCUCAUGCAGGAAGAAGAAUAUUAAAUCAUCAUUCGAUCACAACUCAGUCCCUGCAAUGCAUUUGAGGCAGCAAAUGACAUGAUGCUCUCUUAUACAGAUUUCAUUUUGAGGAUGCAUUCAAGACCCAGAAGUAAACAAAUCUGGACAGUGCCUAUCACAGGUGACCAAUUCCAUUCUCGGUGCAGGAGCAAUAGCAGAGUAAUUCUG